GGCCUCGUCGUUUAUGGGUUAGGAUUGAUCUCUUUCACAGAUCGGGAGCGGGUUCGAGUCCCGCCGAGGCUACCA
RNAcentral lists this transfer RNA (75 nucleotides) under Capsulimonas corticalis. RNAcentral describes it as "tRNA-Glu". It matches the Rfam family "tRNA". Rfam says of the family: Transfer RNA (tRNA) molecules are approximately 80 nucleotides in length. Their secondary structure includes four short double-helical elements and three loops (D, anti-codon, and T loops). Lineage: Bacteria; Bacillati; Armatimonadota; Armatimonadia; Capsulimonadales; Capsulimonadaceae. The record is from RNAcentral.